This is a long non-coding RNA of Pseudophryne corroboree (corroboree frog), 1588 nucleotides long. RefSeq lists it as uncharacterized. The transcript has 3 exons. Lineage: Eukaryota; Metazoa; Chordata; Amphibia; Anura; Myobatrachidae. The record is from RefSeq and is a predicted model, not a curated record.
AGUGUCUGAAAAAAGCAGUACUACUCGUCGGCCAGUAAAUCCUAACACAUCUGAUGAUGAUGACGCUGCGGAAGCAGGUCCAUCAAAAGAAGUAUGGAGCAGCAGAAGUGGCUCUUCUGUUAGACAUCACCACAAGAAACCUGUGGCCGAAAAGAAAGCAAGGUCGUCUGUCCCGCCACAAACACAGCAGGCUACCCCGCCACGAAGAUUAUCGUCCGUAUGUUCUGUCCCCCCACUCCAAAUUUUGGACACACCUCCAAGACGUCAUCCACACUCCCCUCAUCUUGAUUCUUCGAGUCCUGGGAACAGCAUCCCUCCGCAACAACACCAACACAGUGACAUGGAGGAGACAAACAUCUUAGAAAUGCAGCCAUUAAUGCAAGGAAUGAGCCCCCCAGCACCUGUGAGUACACCACCACAACAAAGCACACCACCACCACAACACAGCCCAACAACACCAGGAACACAAGGCCCUGAUCAGGUGUUUUGGACUAUUUGGGUUAGACAGCAGGCCACUAAUGAAGAUUGCCUGAGUAAGCAGACACAAAUGUUUGCAAGCCUACCAUCUCACCUCAGAAGAAGCUCAAGAAAUCUGAGUCGACAAAAUGAGCAAACAACCAGAAUAGGCAAUACCAUGGAACUCAUGCGUACAGACAUUACACAGGUCAUGGGCAACUUACAGUGAAUAAUGGAAGAACAGCACAGACUAAUGGAAGAACAGCACAGACUAAUUGAAGAACACCACAGACAACAGCAAAGUUAUAUGAGCAUUUUUCAAAACAGUCAAAAGAUUAAUGAAAGUUUAUUCAGAAUAGUAGAAAAUCAAAAUGCUGCUACACGUGAACUCAAUGCCACCCUCACUAACCUGAAUGAAACACUCAGAUGCAUGCACCAACAGCAAACAAGCAGCAGUUCUGGUACGACUACUCCAAAUAUGACGCCAGUCUCAUCACCACCAAGACGCUCCACCAGAGCACGCCAACAUGACAAUGCUAAAGGCAAAGGGCAGGACAAGCAGCCACCAAAAAAAACGUAACAAAAAAGAAGUUAGACAUUUGUGAUAAGUAAAGUUAGCAAGUGUUUUUGAUGCUUUACAAAAUAGCACACUUAACUCCUUGCCCCUUUUUUAACAUCAUUAAUUAUAAGUGCACCAAAUUAAUUGUAAAAAAUAUUAUGCACAUUUAUUCCUUGUCAUUUUUUUGGGGUAUUGGAGGAGGAAAAUGUUGAUGGAGCCACACAUACAUGUUAGCAGGAAGUAAACUGACCACUUGAUUUUUUUCUAAUCAUUACUUUUUCUAGAUUCCAAUCAUUCUCUUUGCCUGCAGACAAUCCAAAUGACAAUGUUAGUGAUACAUAUCUUAGCUAUCUUAUCUAUACAUUACAAGAUGAACACAAUUGAGUGGAGUAAAAAGCUAAUAUGUUGCCUUUGUUUUGUUUGAAAAACAUUGUCCAAAUUAAUGUCAGUAUUGUUGGGACAGGUUUGUGUGUGCUAAAAAAUUUUAAGCAUGUUUUUACACAUGAUGCUGAAACAAACAAAUAUGUACUUUAACAAAAAAACAAACAAAAACUGUUUAUAAUAAUGUAUAUG